GGCUUCAUAGCUCAGUGGGUAGAGCACUGGUCUUGUAAACCAGCGGUCGUGAGUUCGAGUCUCACUGAAGCCU
Molecule: non-coding RNA, 73 nt
Organism: Hemiscyllium ocellatum (epaulette shark)
Lineage: Eukaryota; Metazoa; Chordata; Chondrichthyes; Orectolobiformes; Hemiscylliidae
Source: the annotation of a RefSeq genome assembly